Paramuricea clavata is the source of this 269-nucleotide non-coding RNA. The record is from the annotation of a GenBank genome assembly. Lineage: Eukaryota; Metazoa; Cnidaria; Anthozoa; Malacalcyonacea; Plexauridae.
GUAGACAUGUUCAUAUGGAGGUGAGCUAUCUUUCUAAGAUAUAUCUCUUCUUCGAAGUAGGGGACUUGAAUACUAGAGCGUGACAUCAUACUGAAUUGUUUCGUUAGAAAAUGGUUUUACUGGCUAGAACUUCAUUCUUGAUCAUUCUGAGAAUAUCCAAACAGUACAUAAUCGUGAUAUUUUAGUUUCUUUUACCGUUGUUGAUUGUUGAUUGUUGAUUGUUAUUCGUUGCCGUUGGUAAUUUAAUAGUGGACAUAUUUGUAUCUGCA